GUCCUAGUAGCUUAAAAACAAAGCACUG
Molecule: transfer RNA, 28 nt
Filed under: Podarcis tiliguerta
Lineage: Eukaryota; Metazoa; Chordata; Lepidosauria; Squamata; Lacertidae
Description: partial tRNA-Thr
Source: RNAcentral